GCCUGCAUGGUCUAGUAUAAGCAAUCAUACUGUGAAACUGCGAAUGGCUCAUUAAAUCAGUUAUCGUUUAUUUGAUAGUACCUUUACCUGGAUAACCGUGGUAAUUCUAGAGCUAAUACAUGCUAAAAACCCCGACUUCGGAAGGGGUGUAUUUAUUAGAUAAAAAACCAAUGCCCUCUGGGCUCCUUGGUGAUUCAUAAUAACUUAACGAAUCGCAUGGCCUUGCGCCGGCGAUGGUUCAUUCAAAUUUCUGCCCUAUCAACUUUCGAUGGUAAGAUAGAGGCUUACCAUGGUAUUAACGGGUAACGGAGAAUAAGGGUUCGGUUCCGGAGAGGGAGCCUGAGAAACGGCUACCACAUCCAAGGAAGGCAGCAGGCGCGCAAAUUACCCAAUGCUAAUUCAGCGAGGUAGUGACAAUAAAUACUGAUACGGGGCUCUUUCGGGUCUCGUAAUUGGAAUGAGUACAAUCUAAAUCCCUUAACGAGGAACAAUUGGAGGGCAAGUCUGGUGCCAGCAGCCGCGGUAAUUCCAGCUCCAAUAGCGUAUAUUAAAGUUGUUGCCGUUAAAAAGCUCGUAGUUGAACCUUGGACCUGGCUGAUCUGUCCUCCUCAUCGAGCGCACGGAUUCGGUCGGGUCUUUCCUUCUGGGGAACCCGAUGCCCUUUACUGGGUGUCGUGGGGAACCAGGACUUUUACCUUGAAAAAAUUAGAGUGUUCAAAGCAGGCCUUUGCUCGAAUACAUUAGCAUGGAAUAAUGAAAUAGGAUAGCGUUUCUAUUUUGUUGGUUUCUAGGACCGCUGUAAUGAUUAAUAGGGAUAGUCGGGGGCGUCAGUAUUCAAUUGUCAGAGGUGAAAUUCUUGGAUUUAUUGAAGACUAACUACUGCGAAAGCAUUCGCCAAGGAUGUUUUCAUUAAUCAGUGAACGAAAGUUAGGGGAUCGAAGACGAUCAGAUACCGUCGUAGUCUUAACCAUAAACUAUGCCGACUAGGGAUCGGACGGUGGUUUUUUUAUGCCCCGUUCGGCACCUUACGAGAAAUCAAAGUUUUUGGGCUCGGGGGGAGU
Molecule: ribosomal RNA, 1061 nt
Filed under: Cladophialophora sp. ICS-2021a
Lineage: Eukaryota; Fungi; Ascomycota; Eurotiomycetes; Chaetothyriales; Herpotrichiellaceae
Description: SSU rRNA
Rfam family: Eukaryotic small subunit ribosomal RNA
Source: RNAcentral